GUUCGAGCGUCAUUUGUACCCUCAAGCUUUGCUUGGUGUUGGGCGUUUGUCUUUCGAGACUCGCCUUAAAAAGAUUGGCAGCCGGCAUACUGGUUUCGGAGCGCAGCACAAAUUGCGGUCUGUUCCUGAAUGUCGACGUCCAUGAAGCCCCCAUUAUCACUUUUGACCUCGGAUCAGGUAGGGAUACCCGCUGAACUUAA
RNAcentral lists this unclassified non-coding RNA (200 nucleotides) under soil metagenome. RNAcentral describes it as "partial contains internal transcribed spacer 2 and large subunit ribosomal RNA". The record is from RNAcentral.